This 463-nucleotide long non-coding RNA is filed under the name Physcomitrium patens. RNAcentral describes it as "long non-coding RNA (PPAT_LNC011886)". Lineage: Eukaryota; Viridiplantae; Streptophyta; Bryopsida; Funariales; Funariaceae. The record is from RNAcentral.
UGUGUUUGAUUUCAGGUACUUGCUCCUUCCUCAUUGUGAGCAGUAAUCCAUUAUUGGAUUGAAUCCUAAAGCUUGAAGGCACAUGGGACUACUCCAUUAUUAGAGAAUAUGACGUGCAAGCCUCAGAAACGUGAGAUGUCUAUGCUUUUAUAUUCGAAGAUGAUUCGUGGCGUGGGAGUGUUGGAGGUACAUUUAGCCUAUUUAGUAACAGAUUGAUCAGUAAACAAUGGUGCAACGCGGAAUGCAGGGUCAUAAGGGGACGCACGUGGCAGUUAAGCCUGGAAGUCGAAGCAGGAGCGCCAUAGCAGCAAAAAGAUUUUCUUGACCAGGUCCGUGGAAGCCCAAGAGUCUUGUCUACAAACAACACCAGCAGAGUGUGAUACCAGCUGAUUCGACCACUUGUUUGAUACCAGUCCAAUUUUCAUUAAAUUCAGGUUAGCAAUUUCAACGCUACUGAUCUUUA